UACGAAGGGUGCUAGCGUUGCUCGGAAUUACUGGGCGUAAAGCGUUUGUAGGCGGCUAUUUAAGCCAGUGGUGAAAGCCUGGGGCUCAACCCCAGAACUGCCAUUGGGACUAUUUAGCUAGAGGAUGUUAGAGGUAAGUGGAAUUCCUAGUGUAGGAGUGAAAUCCGUAGAGAUUAGGAGGAAUAUCGAUGGCGAAGGCAGCUUACUGGGACGGUACUGACGCUGAGGCGCGAAAGCGUGGGGAGCAAACAGG
RNAcentral lists this ribosomal RNA (253 nucleotides) under uncultured bacterium. RNAcentral's name for it is "partial 16S ribosomal RNA". It matches the Rfam family "Bacterial small subunit ribosomal RNA", at positions 524 to 776 of the family's 1533-position model. The record is from RNAcentral.